GCAACCUACCUUUAUCAGGGGGAUAGCCCGGAGAAAUCCGGAUUAACACCGCAUAAAAUCACAGGAUAGCAUUAUCCAAUGAUCAAAUAUUUAUAGGAUAAAGAUGGGCAUGCGUGUCAUUAGCUAGUUGGCGGGGUAACGGCCCACCAAGGCGACGAUGACUAGGGGAUCUGAGAGGAUGGCCCCCCACACUGGUACUGAGACACGGACCAGACUCCUACGGGAGGCAGCAGUAAGGAAUAUUGGUCAAUGGAGGGAACUCUGAACCAGCCAUGCCGCGUGCAGGAAGACUGCCCUAUGGGUUGUAAACUGCUUUUAUCCGGGAAUAAACCUACUUACGUGUAAGUAGCUGAAUGUACCGGAAGAAUAAGGAUCGGCUAACUCCGUGCCAGCAGCCGCGGUAAUACGGAGGAUCCAAGCGUUAUCCGGAUUUAUUGGGUUUAAAGGGUGCGUAGGCGGCCUGUUAAGUCAGGGGUGAAAGACGGUAGCUCAACUAUCGCAGUGCCCUUGAUACUGAUGGGCUUGAAUGGACUAGAGGUAGGCGGAAUGAGACAAGUAGCGGUGAAAUGCAUAGAUAUGUCUCAGAACACCGAUUGCGAAGGCAGCUUACUAUGGUCUUAUUGACGCUGAGGCACGAAAGCGUGGGGAUCAAACAGGAUUAGAUACCCUGGUAGUCCACGCCCUAAACGAUGAACACUCGCUGUUGGCGAUACACAGUCAGCGGCUAAGCGAAAGCGUUAAGUGUUCCACCUGGGGAGUACGCCCGCAAGGGUGAAACUCAAAGGAAUUGACGGGGGCCCGCACAAGCGGAGGAGCAUGUGGUUUAAUUCGAUGAUACGCGAGGAACCUUACCCGGGCUUGAAAGUUAGUGAAUGAUUUAGAGAUAGAUCAGUGAGCAAUCACACGAAACUAGGUGCUGCAUGGCUGUCGUCAGCUCGUGCCGUGAGGUGUUGGGUUAAGUCCCGCAACGAGCGCAACCCCUAUGUUUAGUUGCCAGCAUGUAAUGGUGGGGACUCUAAACAGACUGCCUGUGCAAACAGAGAGGAAGGAGGGGACGACGUCAAGUCAUCAUGGCCCUUACGUCCGGGGCUACACACGUGCUACAAUGGAUGGUACAGAGGGCAGCUAGCUGGCAACAGUAUGCGAAUCUCACAAAGCCAUUCACAGUUCGGAUUGGGGUCUGCAACUCGACCCCAUGAAGUUGGAUUCGCUAGUAAUCGCGUAUCAGCAAUGACGCGGUGAAUACGUUCCCG
RNAcentral lists this ribosomal RNA (1253 nucleotides) under Pedobacter kyungheensis. RNAcentral's name for it is "16S ribosomal RNA". It matches the Rfam family "Bacterial small subunit ribosomal RNA", at positions 121 to 1376 of the family's 1533-position model. Lineage: Bacteria; Pseudomonadati; Bacteroidota; Sphingobacteriia; Sphingobacteriales; Sphingobacteriaceae. The record is from RNAcentral.